GAUCAUGGCUCAGGAUGAACGUUAGCUACAGGCUUAACACAUGCAAGUCGAGGGGCGUCGGGAAGAAAGCUUGCUUUCUUUGCUGGCGACCGGCGCACGGGUGAGUAACACGUAUCCAACCUGCCCUUUACUCGGGGAUAGCCUUUCGAAAGAAAGAUUAAUACCCGAUAGCAUAAUGAUUCCGCAUGGUUUCAUUAUUAAAGGAUUCCGGUAAAGGAUGGGGAUGCGUUCCAUUAGGUUGUUGGUGAGGUAACGGCU
This 258-nucleotide ribosomal RNA is filed under the name uncultured bacterium. Its description in RNAcentral is "partial 16S ribosomal RNA". It matches the Rfam family "Bacterial small subunit ribosomal RNA", at positions 15 to 265 of the family's 1533-position model. The record is from RNAcentral.